Triticum dicoccoides is the source of this 1882-nucleotide RNA transcript. It is a transcript of the gene named APETALA2-like protein 2, with no coding region annotated. Lineage: Eukaryota; Viridiplantae; Streptophyta; Magnoliopsida; Poales; Poaceae. The record is from RefSeq and is a predicted model, not a curated record. The transcript is spliced from 10 exons.
GCCCUCGCAGCCCGCGGCCACCGCGCUCCCAUGCCAUAGACGCGACCCCACUCAUCGGUCCAGGUCGGUCGCUCGGAGCCGAGCGGCGGCGGGCGGGCGAGGAGUGCGUUUUAUUCGGUCCCGGCGGGCCUCGGAUCGGAGAUGGUGCUGGAUCUCAAUGUGGAGUCGCCGGCGGACUCGGGCACGUCCAGCUCCUCCGUGCUCAACUCCGCGGACGCCGGUGGCGGCGGCUUCCGGUUCGGCCUGCUCGGGAGCCCUGAUGAUGACGACUGCUCCGGCGAGCCGGCGCCGGUCGGGCCCGGGUUCGUCACGAGGCAGCUCUUCCCCGCGUCGCCGCCCGGGCACGCGGGCGCGCCCGGGGUGACGAUGGGGCAGCAGGCCCCGGCGCCUGCGCCGAUGGCGCCCGUGUGGCAGCCGCGGCGCGCCGAGGAGCUCCUCGUGGCGCAGCGGAUGGCGCCCGCGAAGAAGACGCGGCGGGGCCCGAGGUCGCGCAGCUCGCAGUACAGGGGCGUCACCUUCUACCGCAGGACCGGCCGGUGGGAGUCGCACAUCUGGGAUUGCGGGAAGCAGGUCUACUUGGGUGGUUUCGACACUGCGCACGCGGCCGCAAGGGCCUACGAUCGCGCGGCGAUCAAGUUCCGGGGGCUGGAGGCCGACAUCAACUUCAAUCUGAGCGACUACGAGGAGGAUUUGAAGCAGAUGAGGAACUGGACCAAGGAGGAGUUCGUGCACAUCCUCCGCCGCCAGAGCACGGGGUUCGCCAGGGGGAGCUCCAAGUACCGCGGCGUCACGCUCCACAAGUGCGGCCGCUGGGAGGCAAGGAUGGGCCAGCUGCUCGGCAAGAAGUACAUAUAUCUGGGCCUCUUUGACAGCGAAGUUGAAGCUGCAAGGGCGUACGACAGGGCGGCGAUUCGCUUCAAUGGGAGGGAAGCUGUGACUAACUUUGAGAGCAGCUCCUACAAUGGGGAUGCUCCACCCGACGCCGAAAAUGAGGCAAUUGUUGAUGCUGAUGCUCUUGACUUGGAUCUGCGGAUGUCGCAACCCACCGCGCACGAUCCCAAGAGGGACAACAUCAUCGCCGGCCUUCAGUUAACUUUUGAUUCCCCUGAAUCGUCAACCACAAUGGUCUCUUCUCAGCCAAUGAGCUCAUCUUCGUCCCAGUGGCCUGUGCAUCAACAUGGCACGGCAGUAGCACCUCAGCAGCACCAGCGUUUGUACCCAUCUGCUUGUCAUGGCUUCUACCCGAACGUACAGGUAUCAUCAUCACUACAAGAACGACCACCUCCUCCUCCUCCUCCUCCUCCUCUGCUUGGUGCGCUGCUCCACCAGCUUACUGAAACUGUUGCUACCACUGAAUAAUGUUUCUGAAGAAACUGCUAAUAACAUUUUCAGUUUUCGACAAGUUCGUUCCUGAAAUUAAGGUUUCCAUGCUUCUUUCCUAAAACUAAUCACGCCUGCUCUCCUAAAACAUCUACAGGUGCAAGAAUUUUGGGUGUAGUGAUGUGUCUGUUGACUGAGCAUCUCGUCUCAUGGACAGACAGAGCAUGCUGUGUGGUAGUACCAGAGUACUUACUAGAUGUGGGCACUACUGUUUGCCCUGUGAGCUCGCACCACCUUUCGAAAAAAACUGCAGUGCGCCCUCCGGUUCUUGCAGUUCCAUCCGUCCCCCAUGGCACAGCUUUAGAUGCAGCAGCAGCUUGCUUAGUUGUAGUACCCUGAUCACAUGGCGCAGCUUUAUUCUUGGUGCAGGUGCAGGAGAGGCCCAUGGAGGCAAGGCCCCCUGAGCAGCCGUCGUCCUUCCCCGGCUGGGGGUGGCAAGCGCAAGCCAUGCCGCCGGGCUCCUCCCACUCGCCGUUGCUUUACGCUGCAGCAUCAUCAGGAU